This is an RNA transcript of Erinaceus europaeus (western European hedgehog), 5256 nucleotides long. It is a transcript of the gene named jumonji domain containing 4, with no coding region annotated. The record is from RefSeq and is a predicted model, not a curated record. The transcript is spliced from 7 exons. NCBI's taxonomy places the organism in Eukaryota, Metazoa, Chordata, Mammalia, Eulipotyphla, Erinaceidae.
ACGUCAGCCAGUGGGAGCGGGUCGGUAGGUCCCGGGUGCCCGGUCCUUCGUUGGGAGGCCACCAGGAGGCGUCCCUUGACUGCGGAGUCUCGAGCUAAGUGUCUGCGGCCACACCCAGCCCCUGGCGGCCCCCCAGCCUGGCCCAGGAUGGACCGGGAGACGCGUCUUUUCGCGGAGAACUACUUCCGGAGCGCGCGGGGUCCCCUCCCCGGUAGGGUCUGCCCGCCCCCGGCCCGCGUGGACUGGAUCGAGAAGCCCGAGUCGUUUUCGUACGCCGACUUCUUCAAGGGCUACCUGCUGCCCAACGUGCCGUGCGUGUUCUCCAGCACCUUCACCGAGGGCUGGGGCAGCCGCCGGCGCUGGGUGACAGCCGACGGGAAACCCGACUUCGACCACCUGCUCCGAAACUAUGGUGACGUGGUGGUGCCGGUUGCAAACUGCGAGCUGCAAGAAUACAACUCGAACCCCAAGGAGCACAUGCCGCUCAGAGACUACAUCGGCUACUGGAGAGAGCACAUCCAGGGGGGCUACGCCUCGCCGCGGGGCUGCCUGUACCUCAAAGACUGGCACCUGUGCAGGGACUCCUCAGCAGAGGGUGUGUUCACUCUGCCUGUGUACUUCUCAUCCGACUGGCUGAACGAGUACUGGGACGCCCUGGACGUGGAUGACUACCGCUUCAUCUACAUGGGACCCACUGGCACCUGGUCACCCUUCCAUGCUGACAUCUUGCGCUCCUUCAGCUGGUCUGUCAACAUCUGUGGCAGGAAAAAGUGGCUGCUCUUCCCUCCGGGGCAAGAGGAGGCCCUGCGGGAUCGCCACGGCAGCCUGCCCUAUGACGUGACCUCGCCGACACUCCUUGACAGACGCCUGCACCCUAAGCAGGAGCACUGCAGCCCACCAUUGGAGGUCAUACAGGAGGCAGGCGAGAUGAUAUUUGUGCCCAGUGGGUGGCACCACCAAGUCUACAAUCUGGAGGACACAAUCUCCAUCAACCACAACUGGAUCAAUGGCUGUAAUCUGGCCAACAUGUGGCAUUUCCUGCAGCAGGAGCUCCGCCUGGUGCAGCAGGAAAUCGUCCAGUGGAAGGACACCAUGCCCGACUGGCACCAUCACUGCCAGGUCAUCAUGAAGUCUUGCACUGGCAUCAAUUUCGAAGAGUUUUACCACUUCCUCAAGGUCAUUGCCGAAAGGAGGCUCCUCAUCCUAGCGAAGAGUAUGGACCCUGUCGAAUCGAAGGGCAGCGAGGUUGUUGAGCUGGGCCCCCAACAGGCCGCUUUCGACAUUGGCCGGAUCGCUGAGGUGCUGGCAUCUGUGGUGGUCCACCCAGACUUCCAGAGAGUAGACACCAGUGCAUGCUCACCACGGCCAGAAGAGCUCCUGCAGCAGCUCGAGGAGGCUGUGGCUACCAUCGCCACAUCCCUUUAGCACGUGCCGUAAGAAUGUGUGACUGACUCAGGACAGAAGCCUGGAGGUGCUGGUAGAAGGCAGUGCAGGGCCCAGCUCUGGGAACUUAUCUGGAAAUAAAUGCCAUCUUUCCAUGUGGCAUGGGACAUGUCACCUCCCUCCUGAGCCCAGUGGAUGUAGUAUUUGUAGAAAGAACCAUGAAGACAGCUCGCCUGGGAGGUGCCUAAAUUGCCUUGUGUGUGACUCAGGUGCAAGCCUGCUCCUCCCUGUGCUACCUGAAAAGAAAGGUCUCUUCUGCUGCCUCAUAUCCUUUAAUAUAAGUGACUGGUAAAAAUGGAUUGCACAUAGGAGGACCAACUGUUUUUUUUUCACAUCUAAGAUGUUGUCUGCUCUAUGUUCUAUUUAUUUGUUUAUUUAUUUUAAUUGUCUCUAUCUGAAUAGUCAGCCUGGAGUGGAGAAACAUCAGUGACAACAACAACAUCAGAGACAUUAUUGAUAACCUUUUCUCUAGCUUCUAUUUUGAGUGAUAACAUAUAUUUUAAAAUUUUAUUUAAAUUUUGAUAAAAUUUUUUUAAAAACCUGUUUGCUAGGACAAUGAGAAAUUGAGAGGAAAGGGAGAUUGAGAGGGGGAGAGAAAAUGACACGCCUAUAGCACUGCUUCACCACUAGUGAACACACACACACACACACACACACACACACACACACACACACACACACACACACACACACACACACACCCUGCAGGUGCAGAUAGGGAGUUAACCAGCAUCUUUGCAAGUCCUCAAGUGUUUGCUCAACUGAGGGCACCACUCCCAGCCCCAGGAUACUAUUCUUUAACAACCCUAAGCAGCAGCUUUGAAAAGCUCUUCCUGUCUGCCAGGUGCACUGAGCUGAGCUCUCAGAAUCUGUCCCAUCAUCAGAAGCUCUCAGAUAUUCCUGUGGAAUCUGACUGUUCUUUUACCAUGUCACAGACAAGCCCAGUCAGACAGGAGACACAUCUGUUACACUCAAGGUUGCAUGGCCAUGAAAUAGUGCAGUUCAGUUAAUCUUGAUUAAAUCUUAGCUACUUUGGUCUCCUGCCAGCUGGCAUUUCUGAGAUGAUCUGCGCCUGUUGUUACUCAUCUGACUCAUAUCUUCACCUUUCAGGUUGUAGCCAGGAUCAAAGCAGAGAAUGCAGAGGCAUUUCUCCUUGGAUUUUUUUUUUUUUCCUCUCUAGAAGCACAGAGCUCUGAUGAGUUUAUGGACUUGAAACAGUAAGGAGUGGGGACUCUUGUCCAACACCAAUUAGAAACAUGCUUGUCUUGCAGUUUUCAGGUUCUGACAUCCAGGAGUCCUUUCUUGGGGAGGGUGGAGGGUGAGAAGUAAGAAUACUGGUUUUCGACUGGGGAAUGUUACGCAUGUACAAACUGUUGUACUUACUGUUGAAUGUAAAACAUUAAUUCCCCAAUAAUAAUAAUAAGAAGAAGAAGAAUACUGGUUUUCCAGAAAUGCCAGGACAUUUAUCUGAAUCUGUUGAAAUGACGCUGUCAUUGCGCCUGCCGUUGCUGCAGGGUUGACAGUGAGCUGGUGAGUUCCAGUGGAAGAUUUCUGUCAGUUUUAGCAAAACGUCCCGUCCUCAGCUUGUAGACCUCGACUGGUUGAGAGCUUCCUUUUGUUCUUGGCCCAUUUGCCAUGUCCCAAGCAUGUUUGGGAUGUUCCAUCCUUUGGGGGGGGGUGGUGCAGUGAGUCUUCCUGGUACCUUGUGCUUUUAGUACUGUGAGUGCUCCAUGUGCUCCUGGGGGCUUCCUCUCAGCUUCCAUCUAUUCUGCUCCGAAUGAACUCAUCUGGAAGCAUUGCCUGUAGAGUGUUUUCUGCCAGGCAGUGCUCCAUGAAGGGCACAGUGCUCAUUGACACUCAGUCUGUGACUGGUCUCCAUUGCUCUCCACUCAGGGCCCAGUCACACUCAGAGAGCUUAUUGGAGCUGGUUAGAGGACUUGGAAUCUCUGCCUGGUCUGAGGAAGGGGUCCUGUCAUGGGGGUGAGACACUGUCUGCUCUAGAUUGUUUGCAGCCCAGGUCUUCCUUGGAUGGAGACUCCACACCAGAGAGGCUCUCAGCUUCCCACAGGGCUGUCCACUGGAGCAUCCUGGGGAGCCUCCCUGCCUUCUGCUUCAUGCAUUUUGCACAAAGGAACUAGAAAUGCUUUUUGUGAAGUUGAGGAGCCAGUGCCAAUAGUGGGGAGUAUUCUAGUUUGUGUGGAUGGAAUGUUAACUGUAAUGAGGCACUUAUUUAUUUAUUUUAUUAUUAUUAUUAUUAUUUUUAUUUAUUUAAGAAAGGAGACAUUAACAAAACCAUAGAAUAAGAGGGGUACAAUUCCGCACAAUUCCCAUAACCCGAUCUCCACAUCUCAUCCCCCCCCACACACACCCCAUAGCCUUCCCAUUCUCUCUCUCUGGGAGUAUGGAUCCAGGGUCGUUGUGGGUUGCAGAAGGUGGAAGGUCUGGCUUCUGUAAUUGCUUCCCCACUGAACGUGGGCAUUGACUGGUUGAUCCAUACUCCCAGUCUGUCUCUCUCUUUUCUCUCUUUCCCUAGUAGGGUGGGGCUCUGAGGAAGCGGCGCUCCAGUACACAUUGAUGGGGUCGUCUGUCCAGGGAAGUCUGGUCAGCAUCUUCUGGCAUCUGGAACCUGGUGGCUGAAAAGAGAGUUAGCAUACAAAGCCAAACAAAUUGUUGAACAAUCAUGGACCUAAAGACUGGAAUAGUGCAGAUGAAGUAUUGGGGGGUAUUCCCUGCAUGCUCUUGUGUACUUCUGCUUUCAGGUAUAUUUUUUCCCUAGUUUAUGGGCACAGGUGAACCUAUGCUCUAUCUCAGGGGACCUGGACUAUAUCUAGGUUUGGGGACUUUAUUGGGGAGUGGAACACCUGGAAUGGAAUUAGAGAAUACUAUGAAAGGAAAGGUCUCACCCGAGUGAUGAAGCUGAAGGGUUGUCAUUCCACACCUGAAGUCUGUCCUGAAAGCUUGCCAAAGCUUUCUCUGAACCAUCUCUGCUUCUCUAGCAACCACUCAAGGCCUAUCCACAGACCCCAGCUAAAGAGGCCCUUCUGGCCUUUUGGCCAGAGCUUCUUACAGAGUAUGAGGAUCAGAUAUUUACAGUACCCUCCCACAUCGCAGCGCAGAAGGCUGUUCGAUUGAGGUGCAUAAACCUAGAAACUAUACUGCACAUGGGACUGGGGGUUUCCAUGUAUAUCUGCUUUGUGCUUCACCUUCAUUCCCUGGAGGGGGAGGUUUCUCCAGGGAGCAAAUCUAAAGAGGUCCAUGUUUAUCCAGUGAGUGCAAACAUGGACCAAAAAGUCAUUCACCAAAGUGAUUAUCUGCUACAAUACCUGAGCUCUCAGGGGUAGAAAAGGUUGCUUCUCUCAUGCAUUUUGGUGUGUUGUUUAGUCAGCCUUAGCCUUUAGAAUUUUUAUUCUACCUACAAAUGUCCUUUUAAUUAUUCACAAAAGCACUGAAUUUGUCUCUAUUUUUCUUUCACUUUCCUCACAGAUGAUAGUGACACAGAGUUCUUCUGAGAUAUACUGGGACUAAGCCAGAGAAACAAACACCACCAGACUUUAAAAAAAAAAAAAAAAAAAAAGACACCAAAACAAACACCACCAGCCUUAAAAAAAACACAAAAUUUUCUUCCUAUCUCUCCACCCCCACCCUCCCAAGAAUCCAUUGCUUUGGUACAUUAUACCAUAUGUCUAACCUAUGUUUCACUUUGUGCUCUCCUUCCCCAAAGUCCUUUGCUUUGGUGCAAUACAACAUAACUAAAUACUUUUUCUCACUUGAAUAAAACCCAUUGUUAAUAAUAAUAAAAAAAUGUUCAUCUUA